AUGACGAGCAAGCAGGAGCCCUGGACUCGACUUUCCCACAGUACGAAGUUACCAGGAUGGGUCGCGUACAAUCCAAGGACCAUGAGGCCUCCACCAUUGAGCGGCGACACCAAGCAAAUGAAGAUUCUAUCCUGGAAUGUCAAUGGGCUGAGAAAUAUUGAGGGUGAUGUUAAAGAUUUCAUGAACCUGAUACCUGGGUAUGAGUAUAAUUAUUGGUCAUGCAGUGUCGCGAGGCUUGACUAUUCAGGGACUGGAGUAAUUUCACGGGUAAAACCAAUCUCUGUCCAAUAUGGAAUUGGCAUAGCUGAACAUGAUCAGGAGGGCAGGGUUAUUACUUUGGAGUUUGAGAACUUUUACUUGGUGAAUGCUUAUGUCCCAAAUUCUGGCCGUGGUUUACGUAGACUGGUUUACAGGGUUGAUAGCUGGGAUCCAUCUUUCGCCGACUUUGUAGAAAAACUGGAAAGUUUCAAGCCAGUAAUUGUUUGUGGUGAUCUCAACUGUGCUCGUCAGAGUAUUGACAUUCACAAUCCUCCAGCCAAAACUGAAGAUGCAGGUUUCACAGAAGAAGAGAGGGAAUCAUUCCAGAUAAACUUUGAUAUGAGAGGCUUCGUUGAUACCUUCAGAAAGCAGCAUCCCAAGGCUGUGGGUUACACCUUCUGGGGUGAAAAUCAGCGGCGUAACGACAAAGGUUGGCGGCUGGAUUACUUUCUUGCGUCAGGAUCCAUCAUCGACAGGGUUCAUGAUUCGUACAUCCUCCCGGACGUGACAUCCAGCGACCACAGUCCAAUUGGCCUUGUGCUCAAGCUCUAG
Molecule: ribosomal RNA, 810 nt
Filed under: Triticum aestivum (bread wheat)
Lineage: Eukaryota; Viridiplantae; Streptophyta; Magnoliopsida; Poales; Poaceae
Description: partial small subunit ribosomal RNA
Source: RNAcentral